GCCACGGUGGUCUAGUGGUUAGAACGCUGGCCUUGUAAUCCUGGGGUCUCGGGUUCGAUUCCCGGCGGUGCCC
Molecule: non-coding RNA, 73 nt
Organism: Zootermopsis nevadensis
Lineage: Eukaryota; Metazoa; Arthropoda; Insecta; Blattodea; Termopsidae
Source: Rfam